This 485-nucleotide ribosomal RNA is filed under the name uncultured bacterium. Its description in RNAcentral is "bacterial SSU rRNA". It matches the Rfam family "Bacterial small subunit ribosomal RNA", at positions 29 to 487 of the family's 1533-position model. The record is from RNAcentral.
AACAAACGCUGGCGGCGUGCCUAACACAUGCAAGUCGAACGCGAAAAUCGGCUUCGGCCGAUGAGUAAAGUGGCGCACGGGUGAGUAACGCGUGGAUAAUCUACCCUUCAGUUGGGAAUAACUUAUCGAAAGGUGAGCUAAUACCGAAUAAAAACUGCCUGACCACGGUCGGGUAGUCAAAGAUAGCCUCUGCUUGCAAGCUUUCGCUGAAUGAUGAGUCCGCGUACCAUUAGCUUGUUGGUGGGGUAAUGGCCUACCAAGGCUGCGAUGGUUAGCUGGUCUGAGAGGAUGAUCAGCCACACUGGAACUGAGACACGGUCCAGACUCCUACGGGAGGCAGCAGUGAGGAAUAUUGCGCAAUGGGGGCAACCCUGACGCAGCAAACGCCGCGUGAGUGAGGAAGGUUUUCGGACCGUAAAGCUCUGUCGAGUGGGAAGAAGUGUAUCAUGGCUAAUAUCCGUGAUAUUUGACGGUACCGCUAGAGG